RNAcentral lists this ribosomal RNA (714 nucleotides) under uncultured archaeon. RNAcentral describes it as "bacterial SSU rRNA". It matches the Rfam family "Archaeal small subunit ribosomal RNA", at positions 325 to 1040 of the family's 1478-position model. The record is from RNAcentral.
ACGGGGUGCAGCAGGCGCGAAAACUUCACACUGUGCGAAAGCACGAUGAGGGAAUCCCAAGUGCUGGCUCGUAAGAGUCAGCUGUUUCUUUGUCUAAAAAACAAAGAGAGUAAGGGCUGGGUAAGACGGGUGCCAGCCGCCGCGGUAAUACCUGCAGCUCAAGUGGUGGCCGCUAUUAUUGGGCCUAAAACGUCCGUAGCCGGUUUAGUAAAUGCCUGGGUAAAUCGUGUAGCUUAACUAUACGAAUUCCGGGUAGACUGCUGAACUUGAGAUCGGGAGAGGCUAGAGGUACUCCUGGGGUAGAGGUGAAAUUUUGUAAUCCUAGGGGGACCACCAGUGGCGAAGGCGUCUAGCUAGAACGAGUCUGACGGUGAGGGACGAAGCCCUGGGGCGCAAACCGGAUUAGAUACCCGGGUAGUCCAGGGUGUAAACGCUGCUCGCUUGAUGUUAGUUGGGCUCCGAGCCCAACUAGUGUCGGAGAGAAGUUGUUAAGCGAGCUGCCUGGGAAGUACGGUCGCAAGGCUGAAACUUAAAGGAAUUGGCGGGGGAGCACAGCAACGGGUGGAGCGUGCGGUUUAAUUGGAUUCAACGCCGGAAAACUCACCGGGGGCGACGGUUACAUGAAGGCCAGGCUGAUGACCUUGCCUGAUUUUCCGAGAAGCGGUGCAUGGCCGUCGUCAGUUCGUACCGUGAGGCGUUCUGUUAAGUCAGAUA